AGAGCGAACGCUGGCGGCAUGCUUAACACAUGCAAGUCGCACGGGCAGGGGAAACCCUGUCAGUGGCGGACGGGUGAGUAACGCGUAGGUAUCUAUCCUUGGGUGGGGGACAACGGCUGGAAACGGCUGCUAAUACCGCAUGAUGACCGAGGUCUAAAGGCGCAAGUCGCCUGGGGAGGAGCCUGCGUACGAUUAGCUUGUUGGUGGGGUAAAGCCUACCAAGGCUACGAUCGUUAGCUGGUCUGAGAGGAUGAUCAGCCACAUUGGGACUGAGACACGGCCCAAACUCCUACGGGAGGCAGCAGUGGGGAAUAUUGGACAAUGGGCGCAAGCCUGAUCCAGCAAUGCCGCGUGUGUGAAGAAGGUCUUCGGAUUGUAAAGCACUUUCGACGGGGACGAUGAUGACGGUACCCGUAGAAGAAGCCCGCUAACUUCGCGCCAGCAGCCGC
RNAcentral lists this ribosomal RNA (449 nucleotides) under uncultured bacterium. RNAcentral describes it as "SSU rRNA". It matches the Rfam family "Bacterial small subunit ribosomal RNA", at positions 26 to 518 of the family's 1533-position model. The record is from RNAcentral.